UGGGGAAUAUUGGACAAUGGGGGAAAGCCUGAUCCAGCCAUGCCGCGUGUGUGAAGAAGGUCUUCGGAUUGUAAAGCACUUUAAGUUGGGAGGAAGGGCAGUAAGCGAAUACCUUGCUGUUUUGACGUUACCGACAGAAUAAGCACCGGCUAACUCUGUGCCAGCAGCCGCGGUAAUACAGAGGGUGCAAGCGUUAAUCGGAAUUACUGGGCGUAAAGCGCGCGUAGGUGGUUCGUUAAGUUGAAUGUGAAAGCCCCGGGCUCAACCUGGGAACUGCAUCCAAAACUGGCGAGCUAGAGUAGGGCAGAGGGUGGUGGAAUUUCCUGUGUAGCGGUGAAAUGCGUAGAUAUAGGAAGGAACACCAGUGGCGAAGGCGACCACCUGGGCUCAUACUGACACUGAGGUGCGAAAGCGUGGGGAGCAAACAGG
RNAcentral lists this ribosomal RNA (429 nucleotides) under Pseudomonadota bacterium. RNAcentral's name for it is "Proteobacteria bacterium partial 16S ribosomal RNA". It matches the Rfam family "Bacterial small subunit ribosomal RNA", at positions 355 to 776 of the family's 1533-position model. The record is from RNAcentral. Lineage: Bacteria; Pseudomonadati; Pseudomonadota.